AAAUGGUGGUGGUUGGGGUCUGUCUUCUUACCUGCUGGAGGCCCUGCCAGGUGCUAGCCAGAAGCAGUCAUUAUUGCUUAGGCAGUCGUUGUGGGAGGCUGGGUGUGGCUCUCGCGGAGCCAGAAUGAAGGAUAGCAACUCAUUAACACACACACACCCACCCCUAAACACACACGUGCACCUACACACAGCUGGGAGUCCUAAGGAAGAGACCACACCUUUUUUGUUUUUUGCUUUUUUACCACCUUCAUUAUGAGUCUAAAGUCAAUUCAAUUAACCAGCUAUUUGAAAUUUUUACAUCUAACAGGAGCUGAGAAGAUCCAGCUGGUGGGACUGAACUGACCUUCAUAUCUCAGCGAUGAGUCCUGUAGACUGCAGGCUCCACGGCAGUUGCAGCUCCCAGGGCUUCAGAUUGGAGCUGCCUGUGACAUGCAGAGGUGGAAGCACAGCCUCAGCUGUGGUGGACGGCAGCCUCUUUCAGCCCCCAGGUGCAUAACAAAGGCUGUCUUGAUUGUAUCUGUGAGAGUGCCAUGAUUUGGGGUUUUCUCUGUCGGUUUGGACCAGAUCAGAAAGCAAUUGGGACUAUUGUGUCUCUCAUGGAAACCCAAGGUGGGAGAAAGAAGCAGAAGGAGAUCCUGGAACCAAAAACACUUCAGCAAUGAAGACUGGAUUUUCUCUGAAAUGAACAACAAAAUAAAAUCUCUCCUGUAGAUCUC
This 716-nucleotide long non-coding RNA is filed under the name Homo sapiens (human). RNAcentral's name for it is "HSALNT0304519". Lineage: Eukaryota; Metazoa; Chordata; Mammalia; Primates; Hominidae. The record is from RNAcentral.